GCCUWGCCUUAAACCUAGAUAGAAAAAAUACCACCUAUCCGCCAGAGAACUACAAGCAAAAUACUUAAAACUCAAAGGACUUGGCGGCACUCCAUAUCAACCUAGAGGAGCCCGUCCAAUAAUCGAUAAUACACGCUCAACCCCACCACUUUUGGCCACUCCAGCCUAUAUACCGCCGUCGUCAGCUAACCUUGUGAAAGAAAAGUAGUAAGCACAAUAGCCCUCGCUAGAACGUCAGGUCAAGGUGUAGCUAAUAAAGUGGAUGUGAUAGGCUACAUUUUCUAUUAUAGAAAACACGGAAAAUACAAUGAAACUUUGUAAUUAAAGGUGAAUUUAGAAGUAAAAUAAGAAAGGACCCUCAUUUUAAUACCGCCCUGGAAUGCGCACACACCGCCCGUCACCCUCAUCGAAAUAAACCAGAUGAGGUAAGUCGUAACAUGGUAAGCGUACUGGAAAGUGCGCUUGGAUU
RNAcentral lists this ribosomal RNA (469 nucleotides) under Pseudocordylus microlepidotus namaquensis. Its description in RNAcentral is "partial 12S small subunit ribosomal RNA". It matches the Rfam family "Bacterial small subunit ribosomal RNA", at positions 794 to 1524 of the family's 1533-position model. Lineage: Eukaryota; Metazoa; Chordata; Lepidosauria; Squamata; Cordylidae. The record is from RNAcentral.